This 253-nucleotide ribosomal RNA is filed under the name uncultured bacterium. Its description in RNAcentral is "partial 16S ribosomal RNA". It matches the Rfam family "Bacterial small subunit ribosomal RNA", at positions 524 to 776 of the family's 1533-position model. The record is from RNAcentral.
UACAGAGGUCUCAAGCGUUGUUCGGAUUCAUUGGGCGUAAAGGGUGCGUAGGCGGCGCGGUAAGUCGGGUGUGAAAUCUCGGGGCUUAACUCCGAAACUGCAUUCGAUACUGCCGUGCUUGAGGACUGGAGAGGAGACUGGAAUUUACGGUGUAGCGGUGAAAUGCGUAGAUAUCGUAAGGAAGACCAGUGGCGAAGGCGGGUCUCUGGACAGUUCCUGACGCUGAGGCACGAAGGCCAGGGGAGCAGACGGG